Molecule: long non-coding RNA, 400 nt
Organism: Culex quinquefasciatus (southern house mosquito)
Lineage: Eukaryota; Metazoa; Arthropoda; Insecta; Diptera; Culicidae
Exons: 3
Source: RefSeq, a predicted model, not a curated record
GUCAUUUUUUUUUCACCCGCGCGCGUGUUUGAUCCUGUUUGUGUGGCGCAGUUGAAAUCAAAAAUUCUCAAGUCGAAUCGCGUGUGCUCGUGAAGGAACAACAUCCGGCGUUCGGAACAAAUACACCGGGUGACCGAAUCGGAACGGCUCUGGGAUGGCGGAAUUUUCGCAUAUUUGGGGACUUCUUCUACCAGGCCCGGCGCCUGCUGCGGACACUUCCGGCCGGAUUUGUUCAGGAUGGUCGUUUCGUCUGGAGGCGAAAAUCGUUAGGGGCCUAUUCCACUGAGGAUUGUGCUUCAUAAAUACGCGAGUUCAUCCCAAGUACGAAGCAGUAGUUCUGGCACCGGCUACAAACAUUUCGAACAACGUCAGAAAGUUCGGAUUGAAGCAGAAUAUUAAA